GAUGGGAGCUUGCUCCCUGAUAUUAGCGGCGGACGGGUGAGUAACACGUGGGCAACCUGCCCUGCAGAUGGGGAUAACUCCGGGAAACCGGGGCUAAUACCGAAUAAUCGAUCCUUUCGCAUGAAAGGAUUCUGAAAGACGGUUUCGGCUGUCACUGCAGGAUGGGCCCGCGGCGCAUUAGCUAGUUGGUGGGGUAACGGCCUACCAAGGCGACGAUGCGUAGCCGACCUGAGAGGGUGAUCGGCCACACUGGGACUGAGACACGGCCCAGACUCCUACGGGAGGCANCAGUAGGGAAUCUUCCACAAUGGACGAAAGUCUGAUGGAGCAACGCCGCGUGAGCGAAGAAGGUUUUCGGAUCGUAAAGCUCUGUUGUAAGGGAAGAACACGUACGGGAGUCACUGCCCGUACCUUGACGGUACCUUAUUAGAAAGCCACGGCUAACUACGUGCCAGCAGCCGCGGUAAUACGUAGGUGGCAAGCGUUGUCCGGAAUUAUUGGGCGUAAAGCGCGCGCAGGCGGUCCUUUAAGUCUGAUGUGAAAGCCCACGGCUCAACCGUGGAGGGUCAUUGGAAACUGGAGGACUUGAGUACAGAAGAGGAAAGCGGAAUUCCACG
RNAcentral lists this ribosomal RNA (617 nucleotides) under Sporosarcina sp. eSP04. RNAcentral's name for it is "bacterial SSU rRNA". It matches the Rfam family "Bacterial small subunit ribosomal RNA", at positions 71 to 673 of the family's 1533-position model. Lineage: Bacteria; Bacillati; Bacillota; Bacilli; Caryophanales; Caryophanaceae. The record is from RNAcentral.